Molecule: small nucleolar RNA, 74 nt
Organism: Hyaena hyaena (striped hyena)
Lineage: Eukaryota; Metazoa; Chordata; Mammalia; Carnivora; Hyaenidae
Product: small nucleolar RNA SNORD113/SNORD114 family
Exons: 1
Source: RefSeq, a predicted model, not a curated record
UGAACCAGUGAUGGUGAAUGGUGGUGGAUGAGUCAUGGGCAAUGAAUAUUAUGUGUCUGGAUGUCAAGGUCUAG